AAUAUUUCGCAAUGGAGGGAACUCUGACGCAGCGACGCCGCGUGAGCGAAGAAGGCCUUCGGGUCGUAAAGCUCUGUCCUAAGGGAAGAAACGGACGGUAUCUUAUGAGGAAGCCUCGGCUACCUACGUGCCAGCAGCCGCGGUAAUACGUAGGGGGCGGGCGUUAUCCGGAAUUAUUGGGCGUAAAGGGUGCGUAGGCGGCCUUUUAAGUCAGAUGUGAAAGGCUACGGCUUAACCGUAGUUAGCAUUUGAAACUAAAAGGCUUGAGUGCAGGAGAGGAGAGUGGAAUUCCUAGUGUAGCGGUGAAAUGCGUAGAUAUUAGGAGGAACACCAGUGGCGAAGGCGACUCUCUGGACUGCAACUGACGCUGAGGCACGAAAGCGUGGGGAGCGAACA
This 396-nucleotide ribosomal RNA is filed under the name uncultured bacterium. RNAcentral's name for it is "partial 16S ribosomal RNA". It matches the Rfam family "Bacterial small subunit ribosomal RNA", at positions 360 to 774 of the family's 1533-position model. The record is from RNAcentral.